GUGGGGAAUCUUGCGCAAUGGGGGGAACCCUGACGCAGCGACGCCGCGUGCGGGACGGAGGCCUUCGGGUCGUAAACCGCUUUCAGCAGGGAAGAGUCAAGACUGUACCUGCAGAAGAAGCCCCGGCUAACUACGUGCCAGCAGCCGCGGUAAUACGUAGGGGGCGAGCGUUAUCCGGAUUCAUUGGGCGUAAAGCGCGCGUAGGCGGCCCGGCAGGCCGGGGGUCGAAGCGGGGGGCUCAACCCCCCGAAGCCCCCGGAACCUCCGCGGCUUGGGUCCGGUAGGGGAGGGUGGAACACCCGGUGUAGCGGUGGAAUGCGCAGAUAUCGGGUGGAACACCGGUGGCGAAGGCGGCCCUCUGGGCCGAGACCGACGCUGAGGCGCGAAAGCUGGGGGAGCGAACAGGAUUAGAAACCCCAGUAGUCC
This 426-nucleotide ribosomal RNA is filed under the name uncultured bacterium. RNAcentral describes it as "partial 16S ribosomal RNA". It matches the Rfam family "Bacterial small subunit ribosomal RNA", at positions 354 to 796 of the family's 1533-position model. The record is from RNAcentral.